This 168-nucleotide unclassified non-coding RNA is filed under the name uncultured Fusarium. RNAcentral describes it as "sequence contains ITS2". Lineage: Eukaryota; Fungi; Ascomycota; Sordariomycetes; Hypocreales; Nectriaceae. The record is from RNAcentral.
CAACCCUCAGGCCCCCGGGCCUGGCGUUGGGGAUCGGCGGAGCCCCCCGUGGGCACACGCCGUCCCCUAAAUACAGUGGCGGUCCCGCCGCAGCUUCCAUUGCGUAGUAGCUAACACCCCGCAACUGGAGAGCGGCGCGGCCACGCCGUAAAACACCCAACUUCUGAA